This 72-nucleotide transfer RNA is filed under the name Ictidomys tridecemlineatus (thirteen-lined ground squirrel). RNAcentral describes it as "Spermophilus tridecemlineatus (thirteen-lined ground squirrel) tRNA". It matches the Rfam family "tRNA". From Rfam's summary of the family: Transfer RNA (tRNA) molecules are approximately 80 nucleotides in length. Their secondary structure includes four short double-helical elements and three loops (D, anti-codon, and T loops). Further hydrogen bonds mediate the characteristic L-shaped molecular structure. tRNAs have two regions of fundamental functional importance: the anti-codon, which is responsible for specific mRNA codon recognition, and the 3' end, to which the tRNAs corresponding amino acid is attached (by aminoacyl-tRNA synthetases). tRNAs cope with the degeneracy of the genetic code in two manners: having more than one tRNA (with a specific anti-codon) for a particular amino acid; and 'wobble' base-pairing, i.e. permitting non-standard base-pairing at the 3rd anti-codon position. Lineage: Eukaryota; Metazoa; Chordata; Mammalia; Rodentia; Sciuridae. The record is from Rfam by way of RNAcentral.
GGUGCUGUAGCUCAGUGAUAGAGCACCUGCCUUGCAUGUGUGAGGCACUGGGUUUGAUUCUCAGCAUCACAU